GGCGGGAUGGCGGAACUGGUAGACGCGCUAGUUUCAGGUACUAGUGUCUAUUACAGACUUAUGGGUUCGAGUCCCAUUCCCGUCACCA
RNAcentral lists this transfer RNA (88 nucleotides) under Candidatus Dojkabacteria bacterium. RNAcentral describes it as "tRNA-Leu". It matches the Rfam family "tRNA". From Rfam's summary of the family: Transfer RNA (tRNA) molecules are approximately 80 nucleotides in length. The record is from RNAcentral.